Non-coding RNA from Erpetoichthys calabaricus (reedfish), 137 nucleotides. The record is from Ensembl. Lineage: Eukaryota; Metazoa; Chordata; Cladistia; Polypteriformes; Polypteridae.
GUGGAGGAUUAAGAAAGGAGUACCUUUUGCAGUAAUUUGGUUCUUCUGAUACUGUCCUCCUAGAUUAAACUGUUGAGCAAAGAACAGGUCAGGCUAUCCCAGUGUUUUGUACUGACCUACUUGCUCAACACACAGUU